GAAGGAAGAAAACAAGACACAGGGAGUAACUACAGUAUGUUUUUGUGUACUGUCUUUAUUUUACUUUAUUUAUUUUAUUUUAUUUUAUUUUUGGUAGUGGAGAUUGAAUCCAGGGGCAUUUAACCACUGAGCCACACCCUCAGCCCUUUAACGUUUUAUUUAGAGACAGGGUCUCGAUAAGUUGCUUAGGGCCUCUCUAAGUUGGUGAGGCUGGCUUUGAACUCCCAAUCCUCCUGCUUCAGCCUCCCAAGCUGCUGGGAUGACAGGUGUGCGCCACUGUGGGAGACCAACCUUACACGACUGAGUCAUACUCCCCGGCUGGGUCCUGAGGCGCUCUGAGGUGCUCGGUUGAAGAAAUGUGGCAGAGCUUUCCCCACCCUUCUUGGGUCCGAGGGUCGAGGGUCGGUGUCUCGUGCAUGGGUGUGUCUUGCUACAGCCCCAUGGGUUUGUAAUAUAACCCCUUUCCCUGUUUAAGAUAGAAUCUUCCAUGGAAGAUUACUGUGCCCUUGGGUAUGGCCUACCCAGGUGUCAGUCAACCUGCUGACAGUGGACAUCAUGAAGAUACUCAGCCCCCUGAAACCUGACCCCUUGCCUCAUUUGAAUAGCUUCUCCUCAAUAAAAGGGGUCAGCCGCGCUCUCGCUCUCUCUCUUCCUGUGGACCCUUAGGGUCAGAGGAGCCGUCACAGCCACCCCAAAGAAAAAGGUAUUGUGUCUCUUGUGUGGUUAUUUUGCGCAGCCCAGUUUAACUGGAGUGACUCCUGAGCCUUUUAGUCGCGAGAACAGAAACCCAGCACGCCCCCAUGCCCAGCCAUCAUGUACUGUCUUAUUCCAUUUGGACUGCUAUAACCAAAUACCAUGGAUGGGAUGGUUAUAAACAACAGAAAUUUAUUUCUUACAGUUCUGGAGAUUGGGAAGCCCAAGAUCAAGGUGUUAGUAGAUUCAGGGUCUGCUGAGGGCCCACUUUCUGCUUUAUAGAUGAUGGCUCCUAGCUGUGUCCUCACAUGGCAGAAGGGACGAAUCAGCUCUCUUGGCCUCUUUUAUACGGGCACUAAUCCCAUUUAUGAGAGUUCUGCCUCUAUACAUAACUUUAUGAAUUUCUACACAUGUAUAAUAUUGUUUAUAAUAAAAUAUUUGUUCAGGGUGAAGGGCAAAGCAAUACAUAUGGCAUAAUUUUUUAUUUUUUAAACUAAACUAUUAUGUUUAUUAAAAGAUUUGGGGAAAUAUUUGACAAACUUUUAAUGAUGGUUAGCUCUAAGGAGGAGGGUAUAGUGUUGAGGUUAUAGGAAGCAUUUUGCUUUUUGCUGGAUACAUUUUUUUCAUUUAAAUAUUUUCCACUGUACAAGUCUUACUCUUAUAAUUUUAAAAGCACUCAUAAGCCAGGUGCACACACCUGUAAUCCCAGCAGCUUGGGAAGCUGAAGCAGGAGGACCUUGAGUUCAAAGACAGCUUCAGCAACUUACCAAGGCACUUAGCAACUCAGCAAGACCCUGUCUCUACGUAAAAUAUUUAAAAGGGCUGGGGAUGUGGCUCAGUGGUUAAGCACCCCUGGGUUCAAUUCUCAGUAUCAAAAAAAAAAAAAAAGCACUCAUAAAAAUUCAAUUUUAGGGCUGGGGUUAUGGCUCAGUGGUAACGUGCUUGCCUAGCAUUCGAGAGGCAGUGGGUUCGAUUCUCAGCACCACAUACAAAUAAAUAAAAUAAAUGUCCAUCAACAACUAAAAAAAAUAAAUUAAAAAAAUAAAUUUUUAAACAUGCUUUUAACAUUGACCCCCCCCUUUAUUUGUACCCUAGGACACCGAAGGCACCACAGGAAGUCAAACAAGCAUUCCAGAGCCUGCCGGCAAUUUCUCCAACGAUGUCAAUUAGAAAGCUUUGCUCUGCCCUUGUAAGAGCUCUGAGAUGAGAGCCUUCUCUCCACAAAUUCUCAGCCAAAAAGGCAGUGGACCCAAAGCAUGUUCUUAUUCUUCCCCACUCCCUGUCCCCCCACCUCCACCAUCAUUCCAGUCCUAUCAGAUGGCACCUUUUUCCAACAUCAUGGAUUAUUGCUCCCUCUAGUGCAGCCUCCUCUUGCCAGUCUUUUUCUGUGCCCUCCCUUACCUGGGCUUCAGCUUAACUAUGUGAAAGGAUCUAGGAAACCCCACUCUCCUUGCUGGUCUCACUUAUCAUUAAAUACCACCUGGAAAGUAGCAAACAGAAAUCAAUAAAUGUUUUUAAAUGUACUA
Molecule: long non-coding RNA, 2219 nt
Filed under: Marmota monax (woodchuck)
Lineage: Eukaryota; Metazoa; Chordata; Mammalia; Rodentia; Sciuridae
Source: RNAcentral